Non-coding RNA from Acanthosepion pharaonis, 97 nucleotides. NCBI's taxonomy places the organism in Eukaryota, Metazoa, Mollusca, Cephalopoda, Sepiida, Sepiidae. The record is from the annotation of a GenBank genome assembly.
UUAAAACACCGGUUCCUGGACGAUCACCGAAGUUAAGCCACGUCGAGUCUGGUCAGUACGUUAAUGAGUGACCACUUGGAAAUACAAGUUGCUGUAA